RNAcentral lists this ribosomal RNA (486 nucleotides) under uncultured bacterium. RNAcentral describes it as "partial 16S ribosomal RNA". It matches the Rfam family "Bacterial small subunit ribosomal RNA", at positions 30 to 507 of the family's 1533-position model. The record is from RNAcentral.
AUUGAACGCUGGCGGCAUGCCUUACACAUGCAAGUCGAACGGCAGCACGGGUGCUUGCACCUGGUGGCGAGUGGCGAACGGGUGAGUAAUACAUCGGAACAUGUCCUGUAGUGGGGGAUAGCCCGGCGAAAGCCGGAUUAAUACCGCAUACGAUCUACGGAUGAAAGCGGGGGACCUUCGGGCCUCGCGCUAUAGGGUUGGCCGAUGGCUGAUUAGCUAGUUGGUGGGGUAAAGGCCUACCAAGGGGACGCUCAGUAGCUGGUCUGAGAGGACGACCAGCCACACUGGGACUGAGACACGGCCCAGACUCCUACGGGAGGCAGCAGUGGGGAAUUUUGGACAAUGGGCGAAAGCCUGAUCCAGCAAUGCCGCGUGUGUGAAGAAGGCCUUCGGGUUGUAAAGCACUUUUGUCCGGAAAGAAAUCCUUGGCCCUAAUACGGUCGGGGGAUGACGGUACCGGAAGAAUAAGCACCGGCUAACUACGUG